GAUGAACGCUGGCGGCGUGCCUAAUACAUGCAAGUCGAGCGAACGGACGAGAAGCUUGCUUUUCUGAUGUUAGCGGCGGACGGGUGAGUAACACGUGGAUAACCUACCUAUAAGACUGGGAUAACUUCGGGAAACCGGAGCUAAUACCGGAUAAUAUUUUGAACCGCAUGGUUCAAAAGUGAAAGACGGUCUUGCUGUCACUUAUAGAUGGAUCCGCGCUGCAUUAGCUAGUUGGUAAGGUAACGGCUUACCAAGGCAACGAUGCAUAGCCGACCUGAGAGGGUGAUCGGCCACACUGGAACUGAGACACGGUCCAGACUCCUACGGGAGGCAGCAGCAGGGAAUCUUCCGCAAUGGGCGAAAGCCUGACGGAGCAACGCCGCGUGAGUAAUGAAGGUCUUCGGAUCGUAAAACUCUGUUAUUAGGGAAGAACAUAUGUGUAAGUAACUGUGCACAUCUUGACGGUACCUAAUCAGAAAGCCACGGCUAACUACGUG
Molecule: ribosomal RNA, 497 nt
Filed under: uncultured bacterium
Lineage: Bacteria
Description: partial 16S ribosomal RNA
Rfam family: Bacterial small subunit ribosomal RNA
Source: RNAcentral